RNAcentral lists this transfer RNA (72 nucleotides) under Bos taurus (domestic cattle). It matches the Rfam family "tRNA". From Rfam's summary of the family: Transfer RNA (tRNA) molecules are approximately 80 nucleotides in length. Their secondary structure includes four short double-helical elements and three loops (D, anti-codon, and T loops). Lineage: Eukaryota; Metazoa; Chordata; Mammalia; Artiodactyla; Bovidae. The record is from Rfam by way of RNAcentral. RNAcentral also lists the same sequence under 2 other names.
UCCCUGGUGGUCCAGUGCUUAAGACUCUGCACUCCCAAUGCAGGGGCCUGGGUUUGAUUCCUGGUCAGAGAA